GGAUAUGUUUCCACCAACUUGUUGAUCUUCUCUCUAUGUUUUUAAAGCUUCAAUCUUUAAGCUUGCAUGUUACAGAUCUUGAAUGUUCAACUCUGAUGGAAUUUUAUUUUGAGAAAUUUGGGUAUUAUUUGAUUUAGGAUUAGGGGUAAAUUGAAGUUUUGAUUUGCUUGAAUUUGGAGGAGAAAGUUGCAUGGGUCGGAUUGCAAUGUUUGCUUCUUGCUAUUUUUUCUUCAGUGUUCGGGUCAGUUUUUUGUUAGAGAAUUUGAGAAUUUUAAUUGGGGCCCCAAAUUGAGGGUUUUAAUUGGGUGAUCUGAUUUACAAGUUCUUGCGCAUAGGGCAAAGAACUAGUAUUCUUUGAAAGAAUUUGGGGCAAUCUCUAAUGCUUUACAGGAGCUCAAGGAAGUUGCUUGUUUUACUGAAGAGGGUCUGAAAGAAAUACUUUCCAUGGCAAUUUUCAGGGCAAUGAUGAUCCAAAAGUAAGUUAAAGAAUUGUUCUUUUAAUUGAGGAAAACGGGUUAUGGUUUAGUUUUAUUGAUGACUCAAAACAUUAUGAUAACCUCACAAGCAACUUUCGCCGGCCAUGAUACUUGGUAUGCCUUUUCCUUUUAGGCGUUUUACUUAAUUUCUUAUCUAUUUUUCAUAUAGGAUGACUGUCUAAGUCUCAGUUCACUAUUUGUAUUUGCUAGUUUAGUUUCAAGUUUGUUUGGAAGAGUGGUGUCAAACCCAAGACCAGCUAGCUGCCUUGAUCAUAAGUGGAAGCUUUUUGCUAAAUACUUUUCAGGUUAUCGUAUCCAUGUGAACUUUGGCAAGGAUACCAAAUUAUGAAUAGAGAUCGCUAGUCCU
This 843-nucleotide long non-coding RNA is filed under the name Rosa chinensis. Its description in RNAcentral is "sRNA RchiOBHm_Chr5g0008691". The record is from RNAcentral. Lineage: Eukaryota; Viridiplantae; Streptophyta; Magnoliopsida; Rosales; Rosaceae.